RNAcentral lists this ribosomal RNA (499 nucleotides) under uncultured bacterium. RNAcentral's name for it is "bacterial SSU rRNA". It matches the Rfam family "Bacterial small subunit ribosomal RNA", at positions 28 to 573 of the family's 1533-position model. The record is from RNAcentral.
AACGAACGCUGGCGGCAUGCCUAACACAUGCAAGUCGAACGAUCCCUUCGGGGAUAGUGGCGCACGGGUGCGUAACGCGUGGGAAUCUGCCCUCAGGUACGGAAUAACUCAGGGAAACUUGAGCUAAUACCGUAUAAUGACUUCGGUCCAAAGAUUUAUCGCCUGGGGAUGAGCCCGCGUCGGAUUAGCUAGUUGGUGAGGUAAAAGCUCACCAAGGCGACGAUCCGUAGCUGGUCUGAGAGGAUGAUCAGCCACACUGGGACUGAGACACGGCCCAGACUCCUACGGGAGGCAGCAGUGGGGAAUAUUGGACAAUGGGCGCAAGCCUGAUCCAGCAAUGCCGCGUGAGUGAUGAAGGCCUUAGGGUUGUAAAGCUCUUUUACCCGGGAAGAUAAUGACUGUACCGGGAGAAUAAGCCCCGGCUAACUCCGUGCCAGCAGCCGCGGUAAUACGGAGGGGGCUAGCGUUGUUCGGAAUUACUGGGCGUAAAGCGCACGUA